This 77-nucleotide transfer RNA is filed under the name Falsochrobactrum ovis. Its description in RNAcentral is "tRNA-Ile". It matches the Rfam family "tRNA". Rfam says of the family: Transfer RNA (tRNA) molecules are approximately 80 nucleotides in length. Their secondary structure includes four short double-helical elements and three loops (D, anti-codon, and T loops). Further hydrogen bonds mediate the characteristic L-shaped molecular structure. tRNAs have two regions of fundamental functional importance: the anti-codon, which is responsible for specific mRNA codon recognition, and the 3' end, to which the tRNAs corresponding amino acid is attached (by aminoacyl-tRNA synthetases). tRNAs cope with the degeneracy of the genetic code in two manners: having more than one tRNA (with a specific anti-codon) for a particular amino acid; and 'wobble' base-pairing, i.e. permitting non-standard base-pairing at the 3rd anti-codon position. Lineage: Bacteria; Pseudomonadati; Pseudomonadota; Alphaproteobacteria; Hyphomicrobiales; Brucellaceae. The record is from RNAcentral. RNAcentral also lists the same sequence under 2 other names.
GGGCCCGUAGCUCAAUUGGUUAGAGCCGGCGGCUCAUAACCGCUUGGUUGGGGGUUCGAGUCCCUCCGGGCCCACCA